UACGAAGGGGGCUAGCGUUGCUCGGAAUCACUGGGCGUAAAGCGCACGUAGGCGGCUUGUUAAGUCAGGGGUGAAAUCCUGGAGCUCAACUCCAGAACUGCCUUUGAUACUGACGAGCUUGAGUCCGGGAGAGGUGAGUGGAACUGCGAGUGUAGAGGUGAAAUUCGUAGAUAUUAGGAAGAACACCGGUGGCGAAGGCGGCCCACUGGUCCGGUACUGACGCUGAGGUGCGAAAGCGUGGGGAGCAAACAGG
RNAcentral lists this ribosomal RNA (253 nucleotides) under uncultured bacterium. Its description in RNAcentral is "partial 16S ribosomal RNA". It matches the Rfam family "Bacterial small subunit ribosomal RNA", at positions 524 to 776 of the family's 1533-position model. The record is from RNAcentral.